Molecule: ribosomal RNA, 640 nt
Filed under: uncultured Lachnospiraceae bacterium
Lineage: Bacteria; Bacillati; Bacillota; Clostridia; Lachnospirales; Lachnospiraceae
Description: bacterial SSU rRNA
Rfam family: Bacterial small subunit ribosomal RNA
Source: RNAcentral
GCACUUUAUUUGAUUUCCUUCGGGACUGAUUAUUUUGUGACUGAGUGGCGGACGGGUGAGUAACGCGUGGGUAACCUGCCUUGUACAGGGGGAUAACAGUUGGAAACGGCUGCUAAUACCGCAUAAGCGCACGGCAUCGCAUGAUGCAGUGUGAAAAACUCCGGUGGUAUAAGAUGGACCCGCGUUGGAUUAGCUAGUUGGUGAGGUAACGGCCCACCAAGGCGACGAUCCAUAGCCGACCUGAGAGGGUGACCGGCCACAUUGGGACUGAGACACGGCCCAAACUCCUACGGGAGGCAGCAGUGGGGAAUAUUGCACAAUGGGCGAAAGCCUGAUGCAGCGACGCCGCGUGAGCGAAGAAGUAUUUCGGUAUGUAAAGCUCUAUCAGCAGGGAAGAUAAUGACGGUACCUGACUAAGAAGCACCGGCUAAAUACGUGCCAGCAGCCGCGGUAAUACGUAUGGUGCAAGCGUUAUCCGGAUUUACUGGGUGUAAAGGGAGCGCAGGCGGUGCGGCAAGUCUGAUGUGAAAGCCCGGGGCUCAACCCCGGUACUGCAUUGGAAACUGUCGUACUAGAGUGUCGGAGGGGUAAGCGGAAUUCCUAGUGUAGCGGUGAAAUGCGUAGAUAUUAGGAGGAACAC